RNAcentral lists this ribosomal RNA (395 nucleotides) under uncultured fungus. RNAcentral's name for it is "eukaryotic LSU rRNA". The stretch from base 60 to 212 matches the Rfam family "5.8S ribosomal RNA". Lineage: Eukaryota; Fungi. The record is from RNAcentral.
AAAAAAAAAAAUCUGUUUAAUAAAUGGUAUUCUGAAUCAUUAUAUGGAAAUUAAGUUAAAACUUUCAACAACGGAUCUCUUGGUUCUGGCAUCGAUGAAGAACGCAGCGAAAUGCGAUAAGUAAUGUGAAUUGCAGAAUUUAGUGAAUCAUCGAAUCUUUGAACGCACAUUGCGCCCAUUAGUAUUCUAGUGGCAUGCCUGUUCGAGCGUCAUUUCAACCCCUUAAGCCUCGGUUGCUUAGUGUUGGAAGCCUACCGCAUUCUAUGCUGUAGCUUCUUAAAGUUAGUGGCGGAGUCGGUUCAUACUCUAGGCGUAGUAAAGAUUUUAUUCUCGCCUGUAGAGAUGAGCCGGUCCCCUGCCGUAAAACACCCCCCUAUUUUUUAUAAGGUUGACCU